RNAcentral lists this unclassified non-coding RNA (245 nucleotides) under uncultured fungus. Its description in RNAcentral is "partial contains 18S rRNA, ITS1, 5.8S rRNA, ITS2 and 28S rRNA". Lineage: Eukaryota; Fungi. The record is from RNAcentral.
AAGGAUCAUUACCGAAUUGUCGACACGAGUUGUUGCUGGUCCUCGAAAGAGGGCAUGUGCACGCUCUGUUUGCACAUCCACUCACACCUGUGCACCCUCCAUAGUUCUGCAGCCCUGGGGGGCUCUUGUUUCCCCUGCUGUGGUCCUAUGUAUCUACACACACACACUGUAAUAAAGUCUCAUGGAAUGUAUGCCGCGUUUAACGCAAUACAAUACAACUUUCAGCAACGGAUCUCUUGGCUCUC